RNAcentral lists this ribosomal RNA (253 nucleotides) under uncultured bacterium. RNAcentral's name for it is "partial 16S ribosomal RNA". It matches the Rfam family "Bacterial small subunit ribosomal RNA", at positions 524 to 776 of the family's 1533-position model. The record is from RNAcentral.
UACGUAGGGGGCAAGCGUUGUCCGGAAUCAUUGGGCGUAAAGAGCGUGUAGGCGGCUCGGUAAGUCCGCUGUAAAAGUCCAGGGCUCAACCCUGGAAAGCCGGUGGAAACUGUCGAGCUAGAGUCCGGAAGAGGCGAGUGGAAUUCCUGGUGUAGCGGUGAAAUGCGCGGAUAUCAGGAGGAACACCAAUGGCGAAGGCAGCUCGCUGGGACGGUACUGACGCUGAGACGCGAAAGCGUGGGGAGCAAACAGG